This 780-nucleotide ribosomal RNA is filed under the name Pseudomonas sp. T12. RNAcentral describes it as "bacterial SSU rRNA". It matches the Rfam family "Bacterial small subunit ribosomal RNA", at positions 54 to 829 of the family's 1533-position model. Lineage: Bacteria; Pseudomonadati; Pseudomonadota; Gammaproteobacteria; Pseudomonadales; Pseudomonadaceae. The record is from RNAcentral.
CAUGCAAGUCGAGCGGUAGAGAGGAGCUUGCUUCUCUUGAGAGCGGCGGACGGGUGAGUAAUGCCUAGGAAUCUGCCUAGUGGUGGGGGAUAACGUUCGGAAACGGACGCUAAUACCGCAUACGUCCUACGGGAGAAAGCGGGGGACCUUCGGGCCUCGCGCCAUUAGAUGAGCCUAGGUCGGAUUAGCUAGUUGGUGAGGUAACGGCUCACCAAGGCGACGAUCCGUAACUGGUCUGAGAGGAUGAUCAGUCACACUGGAACUGAGACACGGUCCAGACUCCUACGGGAGGCAGCAGUGGGGAAUAUUGGACAAUGGGCGAAAGCCUGAUCCAGCCAUGCCGCGUGUGUGAAGAAGGUCUUCGGAUUGUAAAGCACUUUAAGUUGGGAGGAAGGGUAGUAACUUAAUACGUUGCUAUUUUGACGUUACCGACAGAAUAAGCACCGGCUAACUCUGUGCCAGCAGCCGCGGUAAUACAGAGGGUGCAAGCGUUAAUCGGAAUUACUGGGCGUAAAGCGCGCGUAGGUGGUUUGUUAAGUUGGAUGUGAAAGCCCCGGGCUCAACCUGGGAACUGCAUCCAAAACUGGCAAGCUAGAGUACGGUAGAGGGUGGUGGAAUUUCCUGUGUAGCGGUGAAAUGCGUAGAUAUAGGAAGGAACACCAGUGGCGAAGGCGACCACCUGGACUGAUACUGACACUGAGGUGCGAAAGCGUGGGGAGCAAACAGGAUUAGAUACCCUGGUAGUCCACGCCGUAAACGAUGUCAACUAGCCGUUGGGAG